GCUUGACAUGGGCUUUUGAAACCUCAAAGCCCACCCCCAGAGACACACUUCUUCUAACAAGGUCACACCUCAUAAUCUUAAUUCUUUCAAAUAGUGACAUUCCCUAGGGCCAUUCUUUUUUUUUUUUUUUGUAUUUAUGUACAGAAAACUUAGCGGUGAUUGUACAUUUAACCCAGUUUAGUAGAGAGUUCUUUAGCCUUUGCCUUGUCCAGCUUGUCAAUUUGAGCCACAGAUUUAGGACCCAGGACAUUGCCUCCCCAGUGGCGUUGGAUCUCAUCAUAGCUGUCGUAAUUGGUCCUAAUAGCUUCCACCAGCUUAGCCAGAGCACCCUUGUCUUCCGAGUUAACCUGUGUGAAGGCAACGGUGGUACAUGUUUUCCUGUGGGCAAGCUUGAGCAGCUGGGUAGCUGUUUGCCGGUCCAGGGCCUGGGUGAACUGGUUAAUGGCAGGAGGAACUUUAAGCCGCUUAUAGAGGAUGGCCCUUUGCCGCUGCAGCCGAAUGUACAGGGGCCAUUUGACGAAGCAUGUGAGGUCUUGUUUGGGCUGGAUGUCCUGCCCAAUGCCGAAGUUCUAAGGGCUCUUCUCAAACAAAGGGUUCACCACCUUCUUGGCCUCCUGUUUCUUCACGAUGGCGGGGGCCGGGCCACCUUCUUCCCCUUGGCCUUCUUUUCCUUGGGCAUCUUGCUCGGCUGCAGAAGAGAGAGAGAGGACCUAGGGCCAUUCUUAUUCAAACCAUCACACUACCUUUCCUGUAACAGAAUAACCUUUGAAUUUCUUUUCUUGGUUUGGCAUAAAGGGACUUUUGCUUGUUUCAGACUGUUUCUCUAUUCCUAGGUACAUCCCUCCUUCAUUCCUAUAGUUAACCUUAAUCUAGUUCUAUGGUACUCAUGUUUUGCUCCAUUACACCAUAUUCUAUAUUAAUGUUUCUCAACCUUCCUAAUACUGCAACCCAUUAAUACAGUUCCUCAUGUUGUAGUGAUCCCCAACCAUAAAGUUAUUUUUGUUGCUACUUCAUAACUGCAAUUUUUCUACUGUUAUGAAUCUUAAUGUAAAUACAUGUGUUUCCAAUGGUUUUAGGUGACUCCUGUGAAAGGGUCAGUCAACCCCAGAGGGGUCUCCACCCACAGGUUGAGAACCACUGUUCUAUAUUAUUAAAGUUCAGUUUUUGUCCAUCUGGGAGAGGUUAAUGUGUUAAUAUACUAAUAAUUAUU
This 1210-nucleotide long non-coding RNA is filed under the name Cricetulus griseus (Chinese hamster). Its description in RNAcentral is "lncRNA (ENSCGRG00000024744.1)". Lineage: Eukaryota; Metazoa; Chordata; Mammalia; Rodentia; Cricetidae. The record is from RNAcentral.